CUUUACAAGCCUUUACAAUGAACUCUGUAGUUUAUUAUUUAUAAUUGUUCUUAUGUCCUUUUCAUUUGCUAUUAUCCCUAACUGAGCCCCAUUUAUUGUAUAAGAGGUUGUGGGUUUCUUAUUCAAAAAUUGCAUAUCUUUGCAUGUGUCUAUAUUGAAGUUAUAUCACGUUCAGACUGUAUUACCUUACCUAGCUUUGUGUCAUUUGCAAAGACCAACACAUGACUUGCAAUGCUCACUUCUGG
Molecule: non-coding RNA, 245 nt
Organism: Pelobates cultripes (western spadefoot toad)
Lineage: Eukaryota; Metazoa; Chordata; Amphibia; Anura; Pelobatidae
Source: the annotation of a GenBank genome assembly